RNAcentral lists this ribosomal RNA (578 nucleotides) under bacterium spbL5type3-2. RNAcentral's name for it is "bacterial SSU rRNA". It matches the Rfam family "Bacterial small subunit ribosomal RNA", at positions 73 to 644 of the family's 1533-position model. The record is from RNAcentral.
AAGUAGCUUGCUACUUUGCCGGCGAGCGGGGGACGGGUGUAUAAUGUCUGGGAAACUGCCUGAUGGAGGGGGAUAACUACUGGAAACGGUAGCUAAUACCGCAUGAUGUCGCAAGACCAAAGUGGGGGACCUUCGGGCCUCACGCCAUCGGAUGUGCCCAGAUGGGAUUAGCUAGUAGGUGAGGUAAUGGCUCACCUAGGCGACGAUCCCUAGCUGGUCUGAGAGGAUGACCAGCCACACUGGAACUGAGACACGGUCCAGACUCCUACGGGAGGCAGCAGUGGGGAAUAUUGCACAAUGGGCGCAAGCCUGAUGCAGCCAUGCCGCGUGUGUGAAGAAGGCCUUAGGGUUGUAAAGCACUUUCAGCGAGGAGGAAGGCGUUGUAGUUAAUAGCUGCAACGAUUGACGUUACUCGCAGAAGAAGCACCGGCUAACUCCGUGCCAGCAGCCGCGGUAAUACGGAGGGUGCAAGCGUUAAUCGGAAUUACUGGGCGUAAAGCGCACGCAGGCGGUUUGUUAAGUCAGAUGUGAAAUCCCCGAGCUUAACUUGGGAACUGCAUUUGAAACUGGCAAGCUAG